This is a long non-coding RNA of Carassius gibelio (silver crucian carp), 3859 nucleotides long. RefSeq lists it as uncharacterized. The record is from RefSeq and is a predicted model, not a curated record. Lineage: Eukaryota; Metazoa; Chordata; Actinopteri; Cypriniformes; Cyprinidae. The transcript has 2 exons.
AAUAUGUUUUUCCCAUUUUUAUAGUCUAUAUAUUUCUGUUUUCUCAUACCUGAGAAUUAUGACCCAUGUACAUUUCAAAAAUUACUAAAACUGUGAAAUGUUUCAUUUCAAUGUUUCAUUUUUAUUUUCAUAUAUUGAUUGCUUUUGUCAGCAAAUCUAGCAGCUGUGGAUGGGACACCCUUGGCAUCUCAGGUUCAAAAUUAAUACUUGCCAAGCACCCAAAAACAAAAAAAACGCUGUUGACUAGUACCUAUAUGAAACAGUGUUACUCGCCAGUUUUGAUAAAUGUGAAAUUGCAAAGGAACAAAUUUCAUGGGUCCUGUUCCAGUGACAAUCUGUGGUGUUUUAUAUUUCUAUACAUGCACAACCAUUUCUGAAACCACAGACAACCCUAUUAUGGCCAUCACAUAAAAAGGUAUAAAUCCUUAUAGAGCAGUGAAAAAUAAUUGAAUUGAAUUGAACUGAAAUUUAUUUGACAAGUUUAUAAGCAAGUAUUCCAUACACUUUAGAAAACUGUCGAGGAUAAAAACACAAUAAAGCCCUUGGCUUGUUUCCAUUGCAGCCCUCGAUGUUAAUAUAAAGGUUAUGUGUACGUGCAGAAUAGACAGAAAAACUGUAUCUCCUAAUCAUAAUUAACCACAUCUAUAAAAAUCUAAUUUUUAUCAAUAUUGUAGAGAUAAUUCACCAAAAAUACAAAUCAAAACUGACAAUAAACAUCACACUAAAUCACCACAAAACACACUAACUACCCUCACCAAACAGCCAUCUUUUUUUUAAACUCAAAAAUUAUUUUACUCCCUUUAAUGAAACUGGUAAUUUAUUCCAUGAAAUAGCACUAGUAUAUAAAAAAUAAUUUUUCCCCACCAAACUCUUAAAUUUAAAUCAACAAAUAUUAAAAUCUCUACCCCUAGUUUUAUAUAAAUGCUGCUGACUCACAAUAUAAAAAUUAUUUUCUAAAUAACUUACAUUACUGACAAUUCUGUGUCAGACCCAUUUUUAAAAAUAUCUUAAAACUUUCACUGUGUAAAUGCGCCCUAGAAUGUACUUUUAAAAUUAUCAGAACCAAUUUAUUUUGAGCCUUUUGCAAUUUAUUCUUCAUAACUUGGGGACAACUAUUAUACCAAAAGGAGGAAGCAUGAUGAGAAUGUGAAUGAGUGAAUGUCUAAUAAACCGGCUUGCCAUGCUAAAAACUGCCUUUCUAGCCAUAAAAUCACCUGUUAAUUUUUAAUCUAUUAAACAGCCCAAAUAGUUUACUACAGAUGUUACCUCUGUGGCCUUACCAUUUAUCUUAACCAAAAAGGUAUCAUCCUUAUUUAAUUUAAUUUUAGAUGCAAAAAGAAUGGCCUCAGUCUUUCCUGCAUGUAGGGAUAGUUUAUUAUCUAAAAACCAUUUAGACAUCACCUCUAGCUGCAAAGUCUUCUUUUCUUUUAUGACCCCCUUAUCCUGAUGAGAUAUUAAAACCGCUGCAUCAUCUGCAUACAUAAUAAGUUCCUCUUAGCAUGCUGCUUUAAGAUCAUUUAUAUAUAAAAGAAAAAAAUAAGGGACCUAAAAGGAACUCCAGAGUUAAUAAAUAAAGGACUAGACAAAAUAGAGAAUUCUCAUCAAAACCAACUGCCUUUAAUUUGUACAGUAUAUAUCUUCCGUCUCCUGUGUUCCUGUACAUGACAGAAGGACUCCAUCAAAUCAGAUCCAGCGGUGUGGGAUCUUUUUUUUUUCUCUGUUCCCUAGCCAGCAUGGAGGAGCAGAGGAGAAGAUUCGGUAAAUUAACCACCCUCCGUCAAAGGGGGAAUGAGGUGGGUGGUGUAGCACUGGAGUUCUGGACGUUGGCGGUAGGAUUGGGGUACACUGAUGAGGCCCUGAUGAGGCCCUACACUGAUGAGGCCCUUAGGGUACACUGCCUGGAUGACCCUUUGCCUGGGGCGGAGAUGAAGGGGCUGGAGAUCCUGGACUUUUGGGGGUUCACCAGUUACCUACAACAUCAAUCUCAGUGGGAUACCUCACCCACACCUGUCUCUCCCGGUGGGUCUACAGACAGUAGGACCUCCAGCCCAGCACCACUGCACAAUAUGGCCACCAGCCCAGUGCCACAGCACAAGAUGACAGCCACAGUUGACCCUCCAGAGUCGGGUCAAGUCACCAUUGACCUUCCAGAGAAGGGUCAGGUCACCGAUGACCCUCCAGAGUCAGGUUAAGUCACCGUUGACCCUCCAGAGGCAGGUCAAGUCACCGUUGACACUCAUGAGUUAAGCAUUACCACAGUUAGACCUCAGGAGUCAAGUCAAGUAACCGGUGAUCUUCAAGGACAAAGGCAAGUCGCCAUUGAUCUUCAUGGGCAAAGGCAAGUCACCAAUGAUCUUCAUGGGCAAAGUCAAGUCACCAGUGUUCUUCAUGGGCAAAGUCAAGUCACCAAUGAUCUUCAUGGGCAAAGUCAAGUCACCAAUGAUCUUCAUGGGCAAAGUCAAGUCACCAGUGUUCUUCAUGGGCAAGGUCAAGUCAUCGACUAUCUUCAUGGGCAAAGGCAAGUCACCAUUGAUCUUCAGGAGCAAAUGCAAGUCACCAUUGAUCUUCAUGAGCAGACUCAGGUCACCAAUGAUCUUCAUGAGCAGAGUCAAGUCACCAUUGAUCUUCCUGAAUCCAGUCUAAACUCUGCGGAACUACAAGAGUCUCUACACGUCUCUGCUGAACUACCAGAGUCUCUCCACGUCUCUGCUGAACUACCAGAGCCUCUCCUCGUCUCUGCGGAACUUCCAGAGCCUUGUCACAUCUCAGCCGAACUCUCUGAGCACUCGACUGAUCCUGUCGUGGCCACGGGGGCCACCCUUAACUUGUUCAUGUUCUCUGUUUCAGACUGGCCUAUCCAGACUUGCUCUCCUGUGUCAUCGAUCCCACUGUGGUGGUCCUAGGCGCCGCCCUGGUGGGCCCCUGUCGCGACCGCACGGCUGUGGUGGUCUUCUGCGCUGCCCUAGUGGGCUUCUGUCUCAAAUGCACAGAUGUUUUGGUCUUCUGCGCCGCCCUGGUGCGCUUCUGUCUCGACCGCAUGGUUGUGGUGGUCUUCUGCGCUGCCCUGGUGGGCUUCUGUCUUGACCGCACGGAUGUGAUGGUCUUCUGUGCCGCUCUGGUGGGUUUCUGACUCAACCGCAUGGCUCCAAUUCCACCUUGCUCUACCCUGGAUUCCUGCCCUGUUGGUUCGGCCCUGGGCCUCAGAACUUUCUGUUCUCUCAUGGACUUAUGUUUUGUUGUUGUUUUGUUUUCAUUUUUUUUGGCACUUCCUGUCUCUGUUACCCUCUAUUACCUGGCUCUGCUUCCCUCCCACUGGUCCUCCGCCGGUCCACCUCCCUCCUGGUCUCUUUGUUUUUGCUUUUUUGCACUUGUCUCUGUUUCCCUAUAUUACCUGGCCCUCCAUCCCUCCCUCUGGUCCUCCGCCAGUCCACCUCCCUCCUGGUCUCUGUGUUCCUUAGUCUGUUCUUGGGUUCAGGUGGAGCAUCUGGUAGCUGGGGGUAAUGUCACGGUGUCUGGUCGCUGUUUCCCUGGGUGUCCACUAGUGGUCUCACUUCCCCAUAGGCACCUCACCUCAGGCACUAAAAUUCCCACAAGGCCGUGUCCCUUCAUCACAGUAAUUGCACUCCUGUUAAUUGCACUCAGGUGUUUUCACUUCAUAGUCAUUAACCUGCCUAUUUAAACCAGUCUGUUUCUGUUUGUUUCAUGGAGUCCUUACUUUCCGUCACCAAGUUUCCUCGCGAUCCUUGUGUUCAAGUUUCUUGUUCCCUGUUUGUUUGUUUUGGACUGAUGUUUGGUUAUGACCCCUGCUUGUUUGGUUUCUGAUUUUGGAUUACCAUAUUAAACUCACACUGCACUUGGA